Long non-coding RNA from Achroia grisella, 551 nucleotides. RefSeq lists it as uncharacterized. NCBI's taxonomy places the organism in Eukaryota, Metazoa, Arthropoda, Insecta, Lepidoptera, Pyralidae. The record is from RefSeq and is a predicted model, not a curated record. The transcript has 3 exons.
CUAUGGGAAAACAAAAAGAUACACCUGCCAACAAGAGAGCAGCAUGGCGGGACAGAUUUUCAUCUAGGAUUCAGUUAAACUCUACGCCCGAAGCUCGCAGUCUAAGCAGUCUAUGAAUAUAUGUAUUUUGCUCCUUAUUAGUAAAUAUAUUUUUGUAUCCUUCGUUUUUAAUUUCUCCGACUUCCCACUUUCCUUGUAAGAGCGUGCAGUGUUUCAGAAAUGCAAAAUGGCCGACUGAAUAUUUGUAUUUUCGACCGACGACGAGCAAAAAUAGUAGGAUACUCACAAGUCUACUGUAUUUUCUUGUAAUUUUACUUCAGAGCUCUUUUUUAUAUGUAUAAUAAUACCAAUGAAUUCGUUUUUUUUCAUGUCAAGCACACGUCAGGUUGAAGUCGACCUUCAGCCGCUCCAUAAGUCCUUCCACGUGUUUGGAGUGCCAUCUGCGCUCGCCCCCUAUCGUCCGGUUAAGCUGUAAUGUCAAAGACUCCUGUCUGCAGCAUCGAUUGCAAAAUCGGACCAGAGUGCAACUUUUGACUUUAAUUAUCCGAAUG